Molecule: ribosomal RNA, 241 nt
Filed under: uncultured bacterium
Lineage: Bacteria
Description: partial 16S ribosomal RNA
Rfam family: Bacterial small subunit ribosomal RNA
Source: RNAcentral
CACGUAGGGUGCGAGCGUUGUCCGGAAUUAUUGGGCGUAAAGCGCUCGCAGGUGGUUCGUCGCGUCGUGCGUGAAAGACCCCGGCUCAACUGGGGGGUGUCGUGCGAUACGGGCGGACUGGAGGCCAGUAGGGGGAUGCGGAAUUCCGGGUGUAGUGGUGGAAUGCGUAGAGAUCCGGAGGAACACCAGCGGCGAAGGCGGCAUCCUGGACUGGUCCUGACACUCAGGAGCGAAAGCGUGG